Molecule: ribosomal RNA, 520 nt
Filed under: uncultured bacterium
Lineage: Bacteria
Description: bacterial SSU rRNA
Rfam family: Archaeal small subunit ribosomal RNA
Source: RNAcentral
AACCUCCGCAAUGUGAGAAAUCGCGACGGGGGGAUCCCAAGUGCCAUUCUUAACGGGAUGGCUUUUCAUUAGUGUAAAGAGCUUUUGGAAUAAGAGCUGGGCAAGACCGGUGCCAGCCGCCGCGGUAACACCGGCAGCUCUAGUGGUAACAAUUUUUAUUGGGCCUAAAGCGUCCGUAGCCGGUUUAAUAAGUCUCUGGUGAAAUCCUGCAGCUUAACUGUGGGAAUUGCUGGAGAUACUAUUAGACUUGAGACCGGGAGAGGUUAGAGGUACUCCCAGGGUAGAGGUGAAAUUCUGUAAUCCUGGGAGGACCGCCUGUUGCGAAGGCGUCUAACUGGAACGGUUCUGACGGUGAGGGACGAAAGUUAGGGGCGCGAACCGGAUUAGAUACCCGGGUAGUCCUAACUGUAACGAUGCGGACUUGGUGUUGGGGUGGUUUUGAGCUGCUCCAGUGCCGAAGGGAAGCUGUUAAGUCCGCCGCCUGGGAAGUACGGUCGCAAGAACGAAACUUAAAGGAAUU